GAUGAAGAACGUAGCGAAAUGCGAUAAGUAAUGUGAAUUGCAGAAUUCAGUGAAUCAUCGAAUCUUUGAACGCACAUUGCGCCCGGCAGUACUCUGCCGGGCAUGCCUGUUCGAGCGUCAUUUCAACCCUCAAGCCCUGCUUGGUGUUGGGGUCCCACGGCCGCCGUGGGCCCUGAAAGGAAGUGGCGGGCUCGCUACAACUCCGAGCGUAGUAAUUCAUUAUCCCGCUUAGGGCGUUGGGCGGCGCUCCUGCCGUUAAAGAACCAUCUUUAACUCAAGGUUGACCUCGGAUCAGGUAGGAAUACCCGCUGAACUUAAGCAUAUCAAUAAGCGGAGGA
RNAcentral lists this unclassified non-coding RNA (338 nucleotides) under soil metagenome. Its description in RNAcentral is "partial contains 5.8S ribosomal RNA, internal transcribed spacer 2, and large subunit ribosomal RNA". The stretch from base 1 to 120 matches the Rfam family "5.8S ribosomal RNA", at positions 35 to 154 of the family's 154-position model. The record is from RNAcentral.